This 39341-nucleotide long non-coding RNA is filed under the name Gossypium raimondii (Peruvian cotton). RNAcentral's name for it is "long non-coding RNA (GRAI_LNC010897)". Lineage: Eukaryota; Viridiplantae; Streptophyta; Magnoliopsida; Malvales; Malvaceae. The record is from RNAcentral.
UGUGCUCGGGUCAACUUAUGAGCUUUCGUAAACUCGAUUAAGACUCGAAUAUAAUUAUAUACUAUAAUACCUGAGUGUUCAUGACAUGAAUGAUGUAUUUGAUGAUUAUAAAUUGAAUUGGCUAUGAUUGAAUUAUUUUUGUUUAAUCUAAGUAAUAAUUGUGUAUUUAUGAAGUAUUCUAUGUUUAUUUGAAAUAAUCAAUGUAAUUGAAUGCGUUCUGUUCCGGUUAUGACUAUAGCAUUCUGUAACUUGAGUCUGAUGGUCGGAUCAGAUUAUGGGUGUUACAGUUAAUAACCAAAUUUAACUUAAAAAAUGACCUAAUUAACAAAAAAAAUAUAAACGUUAAAGAGUUAAAUUUAUCAUUAUACCAAUCAUAAAAUACAAAAACUAGAUAUCCCAAAAUAAAUUUAAAAAAUAUAAUAUCCACCAUAAUAAAAUUUAAAUAUGUUUUUAAAAUUUGGUAGGAUUAAAUUAAUUUAGAUUUAGCUAAAAAUUUGUAAAAUAAAGUUACGAACUGAUUAAAAUUUGCAUUAAAAUACAUAAUUUCUUUUAUAAAGAAAUAAUCAACAAUAUGUACCAAAAUAAUUAACUUCUUGUGGAGAAAAUAAAAAUAAUUAACAUUAGGUUGGAGUGGUGAGUCCAAUUACAAACAUUAAGUUGGGGCGAAAUUGAAUAACAAAAUAAGUGUUUGCUCCGUCCUGAUUCUAGUUUAGCGUUGUGCUUAACUCUAUCCAAAUCCGUAAAAUCUUACUCUAAACUCAAUUUGGGUCGCACUUAUUAAACUAGACCGAUAACUUACUUAAUUAAUCGCACUUAAAAUCGUAACGAAAUACACCAUUGUUAAACCUAAAUUCUUGGUCUACUUGAGCGGGUUAAUAUGUAGUUGUCUUUAAAUUUUAUAUAAAAUUACUUAAUUGAAAUUUAAUUUUUUUUUAUUUAGUUACUACCUAAAUUUGUAUUUUGUCAUCUAUGUUAGUACCACAGUAUUACUAACAUUGUUAGUUUAUGCUAACGUGGCUCCGAUAACCAAUUCAAUUGUGACACGUGACAAACAUAAAUUAAAAUUUUCAAAAUAUUUAAAAAAGUGUAAAUUUGUUCACAUCAAAGAUGAAUUUGGAGAAGCAAGUGUCUAAAUUGUCCAAAUGCAUUUGAAUUUGGACACCUAUGUGUCCAUAUUCGUUAUAGACAUAUUAUUUAAUAAGCUCAAAUAAUAUCUCAUCCACGUAAUAGCCUAGAUGUCGUUAAUGGUUGGGUUGAGGGUCAUUUAAGAUUUAAAUAAUUAGCAAAGAAAGAAAGAAUUUUAGGUGAAUGAAGAACAUUAGCCGGCCCCAAAACUAAAACGAAAUUUUAGUCAAUAUGAUUUUUAUGGCUGGGAGUGUUGGGUUUUUAGAGAGGGAGAAGAGGAAGAAGAAAGGGAAAAAAAAUAAAUGUAUAAAAAUAAAAAAUAUUUAUUUAUUUUAUUUUGUGUCACCUGUUAAUAUAUCAUUGAACUUUAAAUUUAAAUGUAAAACAGAAUAAAAUUUUAAGUAUCUACUUUAAUAAAAUAAAAUAGAAAAAAAUGGAAAAAUAACAUAAUUUGAAUACCUAUCUUUAAGCCCUAAUUCGAAGACUUUUUCUUGUAAAAAGGAAGGAAAUGAUAACUUGACAUAAAAAUCAAAAUAAUUUUCCGCCAAUUGAAUUAAUGGAUAAUUUAUCCCUAAAAUAAUUAAAAAUCGAACUUAAACCAUUAAAAUCGUCUUUUAACUCUUCAGAUAAGCAAGAUCAUACAUAUUUAUGAUCUCUAAGAGGGUUUUGAGAGGUUGGCUUGUUUUGAGUGAACCUCUUCUUACAGUAUAGAUAAAGACAAAAAUUUAUUCUCAUAUCAUAGUACAUUCAUAGCUUGUCAAAUACAUCACACGCUAUUAAUACCAUACACCACAGACAACCCCUUUUUUUACUUUUUUUUUUCUUUUCAUUUUCUCCGCAUAUAAAAAUAAAGAUGAUACAAAUAUUUUGACAAGCCUUCACAUUCAUUCCAUGCACCUGCAAUAAAAAAUAUAUUCAUUUAUUUUAAAAAAUGAGAUCAAAACCUUUAUAUCUAUUUAACCUGCUACUAACUAAAAUAUUUUUUAUUAUAAUUAAAACGUAUUAAAAUAAAAGAAAUUAAAAUUUUCGUAAUAACUUCACAUUAAAAAUACUAUUAAUUCAUAAUUCCCCUUUGUUACUAGAUUUGCUAGGAUCUAGAAAAUGUUGCUGUUUUAACCAUUUUCUUGGUAGAAAAUUCCAUGCUUAAUCAACAAUAUAAGGUUAAAUUUAUUUCAAUUAUUAAAACGCCAUCAAGAUUUCUGCAUAUAAAAUAGCAAAAAAAUCCAAAAAAAUUUACCCGAUACCAUAAGGGAGAGGAAUACUAAGACGAUGAUGGAAGAUCUAAUCACUGUCGCUGCUGCUGCUGCUUUCAUGGCCAUCUUCAUGCUUCUUCUUCUCCUUCUUCUUUUUCUUUUCGCCCUCAUGACCAGGUUCAUGACCUCCCUCGCCGUGGAUCUUGUCCUUGAUCUUAUCCAUAAACCCUUCCUUGUGCUGCUCGCCGUGACCGUGACCGGCGGCCGCAGCGGCCCCAUAGCCAUGGCCGCCUUCGUGAUGAACUUCUCCCUUGUGCUCAGCGGCGCCAUAACCAUAGCCAUGGCCGCCUUCGUGAUGAACUUCUCCCUUGUGCUCAGCGGCGCCAUAACCAUGGCCAUGGCCGCCUUCGUGAUGAGCUUCUCCCUUGUGUUUCUCUUCUUCCUUCUUGUGCCCUCCCAUGUGAAGGGUUUCUUCGAUCUUGUGCAUGAUUCCCGACAUUUUUCUAUCUGGUUUUCUUCUUCUUGCUUUGUUUCUUUGAUAUUGCUUUGAAUAUGAGUGUGAAAAUACUUGAAGAUCUUGAUAGCUAUUUAUAGGCAACUUAAGGAAGGGGGAGUUUGUCACUUCCAGUGGAGCUAAAAAUAUGAUCUCAGAUUGAUCCGGUAUCCACGUAUAUAAUUGCAAUUACUUUAAUACCCUUUUCGUGUCCUGGACGCGUUGUGGAUUCGCCUUUUGCCACCUGCCAUCAGUAAGGUUUUAGCUUGAAAAUUAAGAUAGCAUAUUACUUUUAGAAAAAUAAAAAUAUAUCAUUCAUAUAAGUUUUUGAUAUAUUUAUCAUAUAUUCUAAGUUAUUGUAUAGAUUAAUAAUUAUUAAAUGAUUAAAUUUUUUUACCUUAAAUAAAUUAUUAAAAAUUUUAUAUUUACAUUAAAUUUAUCAUGCAUAAUUUAUAUGAAUAAAAUAUGAAUUAUAUUAAUUGAAUUAUUAAAAUAUUAAUCGUACGAAAAUAUACGUAAGAAAACUACUUUAAUUUGACACUAGUACAAGAGUGUAAUUAAGGGGAGCUGUGCCCUUGGCAACCCUCAUAAAAUGAAAAAAAAUUUAUUUAGACAUUUUAAAUUUAUAAAGAUAAAAUUACACUUUAAUUUCAUUAAAAUGAUAAAAAUAAUAAUUUUGAUCCUUCUAAAAGAAUUUUUUAAUUUUAUCUCUACACCAGUAUAAAUGGAUCUACUCCAUAAAUAUAUAUUAUGUUAAUACUUAUUUAGAAUAAUUAUUAAGAGUUUUCAUUUUCCUUUCGCUAUAAACGUAAACAGUAAACAUUAAAAUUAAAAUUUUAAAUUUUAAAUCCAUGCCAAUAAUCCAUAGAUCUAGACAUUGUUUAUUAGACUUAAUACACCUAUAAUUUUUUACAGUAUAUAAUCUAUAAUUUUUAGACUUUAGAACAAUUUUAUAUAUUUAUAAAAUUAAUAUGGUGUUUUUAAAUGAUUUGGUAUAAUCAUGAUGUUGAAGUAUUUUAGUAUUGCUAGACCCUGCCAUUUGGGAAUAAGUGAAUAGAAGAUGACCGACCAUUCAUUACGGGACAAUCCAUUACGCGGCUUUCCAUGCUACGGAUUUUGACAGCACUUCACGUUCCCUGACACGUGUCACCGUGUUAUCAUCCGAAUUAUAUAUCUUGAUAUUUGUGGUCCCCACUGAAACAAAAUAAACCUACCCUUGCUGAUGGGCCCUCGUCUCCUUCCAAUUUAACUUCUUGACUUAUCUCCAAUUGAAAAAGAUUGAGAGUGUUAAUCCCUUGUUGGUACGACACGUGGACAGAAACAGUUGUUUGCCGACAGAUAUUUGAGGUAUUUUAAUGUGUUCAAAUAUAUGCUCUUUUACGGUUUUAUUAUAAAAAUAAUAUUAGAAAACUAAUUAAUUAUAAAAAUAAGGUGAGAAACAAAUUAAUUAUAAAAUUAGAGUGUUUACUAUAAUAACUUUGAGUAACACUUGAUACAUUGACAAUACCAAUGAAUUUUAAAAAAAUUUUAACAAAUCAUUUUAAAAAAAAAUUUAUGGUGUCAUUGAGAUAUUAGCUGCACUAGUAAAUUUUUUUUAAAAAAAUUGAUAGCAAAAAAAAAAAAAGCUAAAAAGUUGAAAAAUAAUAAGAAAAGUUGAUUUGUGGUUCAAACACUAGCUUUUUCCUUACAUUUAGGGCAUUAAUGUUUUUUUUAUGUAUUUAAUGUCUUAAUAUCUUUUCUCUACAUUUAAUGUCACUCGCUAUAUUUAAUUCCUAAAACAACAAUUUUUUUAUUUAAUCAAGCACCAUGCUUGACACAUUGGUGGCAUCAAUUAAAAAAGUUUGUCAAAUUUUUUAAAAGUUCAUUAGUGCCACCAAUGUGUCAGGCGACACCUUACUGUAACAAACAUUUUAUUUUUGUAAUUAAUUUAUUCUCCAUUCUAUUUUUGUAAUUAAUUAUUUUUUUAAUAUUAUUUAUAUAAAAAAAAGUCAUUCUCUUACAUUGACAAUAAUGUCCAUGACAAUUGAGUUAAUGUUUAGUCAACGCCUCAGCGCAAUUUAUAAAAAUAUCAGGCUAUAUUUUGUUAAUCAUGAAUUUAAAAAAAUUUAAGAUGAAGUAAAAUUUUAAUACAUUAUUUAAAAAAAUUUAUAUAAUGCUUAAAAUUAUCUAUAAUUCCUUCUCAACUCCUAAAUAGAAAGAUAAAUGUUUUUUAAUACGCUCGAACUCAUAUCCUUUUACAUUGAUAAUAAUAUUUAUACCAAUCAAAUUAAGAUUCAAUCGACAAAAUAAAAUCAGUGAGUAUUUAUACUAUUUCGUCCAACGAAGUAAGAAAUAAAGGUACUCUUAUAGUUCAUCAUUAAAAUAUAAGAAUGUAUUUAUACAUAAAAGAAAAUUGAUGUAACAACUAAAAUGGAACUUUAGUGGUUUUGAUAAGUUAUAGAUAUUAGAAAUUAAGUCCUAUUAAGUUUAAAUCUUAGAAGAAUAAUUAAUUUUUUAAAAUUUAUUGAGUUUAAAUUAUGAAAAAAAAUAAAAACAUUCGUAAUUAUAUUUAUUAUUUUAUAAAAAAUGAUUUAUAAAGCCACUUUCUAAGUUGAUAUUAAUGUGAUUAGUUAAGUUAAAAGCUUAACUAUAAUAAAAUUACAUUUUUUGUGCAAGUCUAAAUUUGAAUAAGUGAAUGUACGAAAUAAUCCGUUUAAUAUUUAAAUAAAUAAAUAAACUGUUUAAAUACUACAAUUAACCUUAAAAUGAAAGUAAUUAAUUAAAUAAAUAUUAUUUUACUAAUAGGAUAAAAUAUUAAAAUGGUAUCUAAUAUUCCAAUAAUUUUAAAUAAUUUAAUUAUGAUAUACUCAUAUUUUGGGUGAAAUUUUUUUACUUAUACCAUAUAUAUAAAAUGGCUUAUAUGUCCCAAAAAAAAGUCUUUUAAGAAAUGUAAAAGAAUCAAUUAAAAUUUUAUAUUAAAUUUACACCUAAUUAAGCCUCUGUUGUUAAUUAAAAUAAUAAAUUAAGUCUCUCCAUUAAUUAUUUCUGUCAUUGACCAUGUUAACCGUUAAAAUAAAUUGACGGACCAACCAGAUGGUAAUAAGUGGCUACUUCUGGUUUAUUCUAUUAUUUUUCUCAUAAAAAUGAAUAAAAUUUCAGAAAAAAAUAUAAAAAAGGAAAAAAAUUAUCAAAAAUGUAAAAAUUAUUAAAUAUUAAAAAAAUAUGACAAUUGAUAUAAACUUAAAAAUUAUAAAAAUUAUAAAAUUAAUUAAACAGAUUUAAAAUUUUAUAAACACAUAUUAAAAUUCUAUAAAAGUCAUAAAAAUUAUAAAUAUAUAUGAAUUAUUAAAAGUAAUAAAAUUGAUAUAAACUUUUAAAAAUUAUUAAAAAAUCAUUAAAACUUGAAUAGGAUAAGAUCAAUUAGAUCGAAAAUUGGCAAAAGUAUUGGUUCGGAGAAAGCCAUUAGACUGGUUGACAUGGGAGCUAGACAGUUGAACCGAUUUUUUUAAUAUUUUAUUUAAUUGAAUUGGACGGAUCAGUCAAAUUUCAAACUGGUGGCCUUAUUGGUUCAAUCGCUGAUCCGUUUUUGAAAAGCUUGGUUAGAAUAUUUCAUUUUGACAUACGCUAAUGGUUAGGUAAUAAAAUUUUGGUUUGAUAAAAAUAUUAAUAAAAUAAUAAAAUUUGGUUAGAAUAUACCAAAAAGAAACUUGUAUUUAUCGUUUUUGUAAACUUUACAAUUAAAUUAUAAAUCUCAUAUGUUCGUUUAUUUUAUUAAAAAAUCUGUCAAACAACAUAAAAUAUUUAGAUAAAUUAAUAUUUAUUAUUUUAUAAAUAUAAGCUUUUAGUUAUUUUUUAAGUGAAUUAAUGUCCGAUUAAUUCAUAGUAUCAAUUCAAUUGGUGAUUAAAUUAUAAUAUAGAUAACAUAAUUUUAUAAAGAAAAUGUGUUAAUAAUUUUAUAAUAUUUUUUUAAUAUAUACUCUCUCUGUUUUAGGUUGAUAUUUGCGGGUCAAAUUUUUAAAUUUUGACCUCAGCAAUUUUAAAUAAUUUAGUUAAUUAAAUUUUAAAAAAAUACUUUUAUAAAGAAAAAUUAUUAAAAAGAAACAAAAGCAACCUAUUUCUUUGCUUUUUCUGAUUCUAUUUCAUCUUUAAAGUAGAAAGGAAAGACGUGUCAUCUCUUGGACUACACACUUUCAUAAUAUCUACCUGAAAAUGAAAUGUACCAUGUUUUAUCUUUUAUUGGACUUCACAUAAUUAUAUUCUCUAAUCUAAUCUUUAGAAUAUAUUUUGAUAUUUUAUUAAUUAAUAUUUCUCUAAUGUUUUCUAGGCAUAAACACUAAAAAUGAAACCAAACGGUGCCAAUGCAAAUUGUAGAUAUUAAAAUUUAACUCAAUCCCUAGCAUAAUGAAUGUCAAAAUGAGUUAAUAAAAAUUGAAGAAAAAAACGGAUGAUUUUAAAUUAGACCAAUCAAUAUAUCUAAUUAAAAUACGUAAUUUAAUAUUCAUUUGCAUAAACCCUAAUAUCCUAAAUUCUAAAAUUCUUAUCUUAAACCCUAAUAUUCAUACAUACAAUCAUUUAGUUGAAGAUUACAACAAAAUAACAAAAAAGAAUAUUAUUCGUCUGGUUAAUGCAUCACAUCUUCAUUCAUGAUCUAGGAUUGAUCUCUAUAUAUGUAAAGUCGGGACAUUCAUCAAGUUCCAUGCGUACAAUAACUAGGGCAACUUCAAAAAGAAUGCCUCUGCCUAGACCUCAACCUUGACCUUUGUCUCAACGUCGGCUAUGUUGUCUAGCUUCAACAGUUUCACCAUCGACUCAGCUUUACAACAACACAAUAAUAGAUUAUUCCCACCUAUAGCUUGGCCUCUUACGACAUAUUAGGCUUGUACUUCCCCGUUCUGCCUUCAACAUUGUGAAAUUGGAUGUUAAAUUUCAUGUAUAGGAACCUAUCCCGAUCAAUACAUAUAUGAUUUAUCGUUAACCCUAAACAGUUUCCUGUAAAUCACAAAUAUUGCAAAAUUACCAUCCUCAAUUAAUGCAACCUGUGGCCUAUGUGAAAGAUAAUUAGCCCAAUAUGCGUUGUGCCCAGCGUAUCUAAUGGCCCAAUUAUGCUCUGAUUAGGACGCAAAUAUGUAGGAUGAUAAUCAUUCCUCUUCUCUAAAUUUGUUAGAAUUUAUUGUGCCAUCCCAAACUGUUGUAAAUCCCACUGAUGCAAAAAAAACAUAUAAGCAACAUGCACACGUUAAAAACAUGAUUAUGCACACAUGCCCCAAUGGUAUUAUGACUACAAUCUCUUCUACUUGAUACGACAUCUACACGAAUUGCAAAAAUAAUAAAAGUGUUGCAUUUAAAUUUCACUAUAAGAUGAUAUUAAUUAAAGUAAACUUAACAAUAUAAAACACAAAUUAUCAAAUCAUUUCAUUCAACAUAAAUAUUUGCUCGUAUCACUAAGAUAUCUUCUUUUCAGUAAGUUGUAUGGUCAUGAUGCUCGAACCACUUAUUAAAAUAUACAAUGUCAGUACAUAUAUAAAGCAUUUAAAACAUAUUAGAUUUUAUAAUGUAUUCUUUUAAUUUUACCUUUUAACAAGAGGAAACUUUGAUUCUCAAAAGGGAUAGGUGCAAUCUAAAAAAGCUGAUACCUCCCUCACGAUUGUAAAAUCACAAGAUAGGCAUUUACUUCCUCAUCCCCACUUUACACACCUUAUAUAGAAAGGCCGAAAGGAUAGAAAACCUAACUAUAUUUUCCAUUUGUUUUGAAAUUAAAUAACUAUGGGAUAUACAUAAUAUGAACUUAAUUUGAAUCCCUUGGAAAUCGAAUUUAAGGUUGAUACUUAUUUCAGACGCUCGAUAAAGGAACCUCUAGGUUGUGCUUAAAACAUUUCGUUACUGGAAGAUUUUCCAUUAAAAUCCCCGUCAGCAACUCUACAUCUUCCAACAUUAUUAUUGCUUCACGAAUGAGAGAUGAAAAGAAGCAACUCAAUUUCUAGUGGUGUCAGAAAAUGUGAUUUCAAAACCCCAUUUCUGUAAACCGAGUUCGUAAAUAUUAAAUAUGAAUAUUUAAUAAGUUAAUAUUAAAAUAUAUUGAAAUUUGGUUAAGUAAUUUAGCCGAAAAAUGGUUAAUUAAAUCCCAAGGACUAAAUUAUAAAAUUCCAAUCGCUAAUUAGGAAAAGACUUAGGGACUUAGAUAGCAAUUAUCUAUAGGACCAAAAUGGUUAAUAGGUAAAUUUUAAAUAGUUGUUGGUGGAUGGUAAUGAUGGAUGUUAUUAAGCUUAAGUAAUUAGUGAAUUAAAUAAAACAUAAUUAAGUUUGUUAAUUAAGAUUAAUUAAAAUUUAAAUAUAGUAUAAAUAACAACUAACGUGGGAAGAAAGAUGAAAUAUCAUCAUCUUCUUCCCCAAAACCAUUGAAGCAAAGGAAAAAUUAAAGGAGAAAGCUUUAGGUAUUUAAACAUUCGACCAUUUAUUUCCAAGUAAGUCACUAUCCAUUUUUCUUUGAUUUUAUAGAUUUAUGGUCAUGGGAGCUUGAUUUAGCUAGCUCGUGUAUCAAUUUGUUCAAUUGUUGAAAUUUUGAUAAGUUUCCAUUGUUGAUAAUUUGAGGAACUAGGGCUUGAAAUUGAUAAAAAUUUAGCUUAAACUAUGAAAAGGACUAAAAUGUAAAGCUUAAUAAGCUUAGUUGUUAACUUUGUUACAUUAAAGACCAAAUUGAAUAAAAUGAAAACCUGCUAUGAAAUUAUGUUAGGAAUAAAAAGUAUAAAGUCCCUAGUGAGUAAAUGUAAAAUCAACUUUUAAUCUGAAGCUAUAUAAUGAAAGUUAUGCUUAUCCCGAGUUUAAGGACUAAUUGAAUAAAAUAUAAAAUAUGAUUGGCUUUAUAUUUGAAUGCGAAUAGGAUGAAAAUUGAUAUUGUGUAUUUUCUGAAUUAUUAUUCGUAGCUAAAUACGAUACUAGACCAUCAAGAGGGAAAUGAAAAGUGAUAGUCAACGAUAAGUGACGCAAGAUUUCAAUUUGUAUUUCUAUGAUUCGAGAUCAAAUUAAUUAUUGCAUAUUCAUAUUAAAUUGCAUGAUUUAGUAAUGAGGUGAGUACAUAAUGGUUGUUUGAAUAGAAUUACUAUGAUUGGAGUCGAAUACCGAAAUUGUGGACUAAAUUGAGUAGAAUAGAAAGUAGCAUGACAUGAUUGAUAUGUGAUAUAAAAUGGAAUUGAAAUAUGUUAUAUGUUAUGAUGAAUUGGUAAAAUGAUAUGAAAUUAGAAUGAUGAAAUGUGAAUUCAAUCAUAUAACGAAAUUGGAAAAUUGGUUACCCUAUUAGUUGUUCAGACUGGGUUGGAUAUAAUUGGCAUGCCAUAAGGACAAAUAUUGAUAGAAAAUAUCAUUUUCGGGCAUCUCAGGGUGAUAAUAUGUACAUAUUUCAAAGUCAUCAUUCCCGGGAAACCCGGGGUGACUAGUCUGUUUAUUCGUUCUAAGUCCGUGUCUAGUUAAUGGGUUUAUAAAAACAUGAAUAGACUAUAUGAUAUAUGAAAUGAAAUGUAGUUGAAUUGUGAUAUAUGAUAGCUUGUGAAAGAUCACGCAAAAUGAGUUGAAAACAAGCCCUAGGGGCCGAUUGAGUAUUAAUGAGCCAAUAGGCUAAAAAAUGAUUGAAAUGCAGAGAUGAAAUUGAGUAUAUGUGUAUAUAUGUUGAUGACGGUAAAUGAAUAAGUAUAUGUGCCUAUAGAUGACAAUAUGAAUUGAUUAACUUCACGUUUGGUUGAGGGGAAUGGAAUAGCUAUUCCCUCUUUAUUCUUGGAUGAAUAGUGGGGUUGUAGUUUGGUUUACUGUUCUCUUCAUUCAGCCGAAUUACUAGUCCUUUCCCAUUCUUCUGAUUUACCGAAUCAUCAUUCAGUGAAGGGGGCUAAAAAUAGCCCAUUCAACAACAUAUGUAAUAGCAAAAUUUUGUCCCAGGCAAUUUUACCCUGUAUAUGUUCACUCGUCGAUUCUGUCGUAACAGUGGUGUCUCCCCAGAUUUCGUGGUUGAGAAUCAUCGAUUUAUCUCCAACUCGUUCACCCAAUUCCCAUCUCUCUUCUGGUUGGACUUUUUGCUCUGUGCUAGAACGCUCCUUCCUGGUCUGCCUCAAAUCUACCACACCGCUAAGGUUUUUAGUUUGCCGUGAAAAUACAUCUUCAAUGUUCAAGAUCCAGGGACACACAUGGUACGUCUCCAUUUCCUUAGAUUCAAUUCAUUGAGAUUAGAUAUGGGUAACUAUCGGUUUCACAUUUUGGUUAAUGGGUUAGUAGCUUGAACCAAUUUUAGCGAUGGGGAUUUAGUAAAUCCUAAAAUUAUAGAAUAUUUUCUUUGGGUUAAUUUAGAAAAGCUUGAAAUUCAUUUCAUUCUGGCUGCUGGGGUUGUUAGUUUUAAAGGUCAUCUCUUUCACCUUUUUUCUUCUUCUUUGCUUCUCUAUUCUCUUUAUUUUUUAAAUUGUUCUGGCGAUGGUGUUGUCAGUUUGAUCAAUUUGGUAUUUGGGUUUGUUUUCAGGUAAUGGAGGCUUUUGAAUCGUUGGGUUAGUGUGGUGAGAAUGAUGAAGCGAAACAAAUGGUGGUGGUGAUUUUAGGGUAAUGAUCAAGUAAUAAUGGUGCGGUGAAGAUCAGAGGAAGUGGUAGAGCUUGGGAGCAGGCUAUGGUGCGGUGAAUGGAGUAAUAAUAUGUAUUUAUAUAAUAUUUUUAUCAAAACAUUUAUAUAAUUAAUAUUAAAAAUAAAAAAUUAUUAUAUAAAUUAUUAUUUAAUUAUAUUUUUUAUUAUUAGUAAUUAUUUAAUUUAAUGAAAAAUAUAAUUCAAUUUAAAUAUUUUUACAAUAUAGUAUAAUAUAUUUAAAAUAUUUUUUUAUUUCUAAAGGUAAAAUUAUCAUUUGUGAUUUAUUCCAUAUUUAUUCCUCUCAACCAAAUGCAUGAAUACUAUUAUAAUACUCAUUCCAUCCAUCCAACCAAAUCACUAUUAUGCCUAUUCAAUUCCAUUACAGCCCUAUUCCUUUUUCACAUAAUGGUUAUCCCAUUACACCCUUAUUCCAUUAAAUGAACCAAAUGUGUCAUAAGUAGACCUGUCCAUGGGUCGGGCGGCCCGGCCCGGCCCGAUGGCCCGCCCGGAAUAUGGGAGGGUUCGGGUAAAAAUAUAGGCCCGAAAUAUGGGCUUGGGCAAAAAAUGAGGCCCGUUUAGAAAACGGGCCGGGCCUCGGGUAAAAAAAUUUUGGCCCGGGCCCGGCCCGGCCCGAAAUAUAUUAAAUAUAUUUUUUUUAUUUUUAAAAUAUAAUAGUUAAUUUUAGUUUUAACUUUAACUUUUUAGUUUUUAGUUUUAUUUUUCACUUUCCCACGUCGACCGUCUGUCUUCAAAAUUCCAAAAUCCCUAACCCUGUGCCUUCUAAAAUCCCUAACCCCAUCUGUCUGUCUCCACCGAUUCUAAAUCACCGAUCCACCUCCACCGUUAAGACCUCCACCGAUCCACCUUCGGUUCUCCAACAGAAUCGUAUUUAAGGUAAACCCUAAACCUUUCGACCUCCAUGGCUGUUCUACUUCUCAAAAUCCCCCUUUUGUGUGUGUGUGUUUAGAUCAGAUGAGUGAAUUUCCAGGAAAACCCCGAUUCAAGUUUCCUGGACAUAGAUUUAUGAACAAAGAAAAAGAAAAAAAUGGAACCAUUAGAGUAUGAAGGGGGAGAGUGAUGAAAGAGUGGGUUCUUUUUUGGUCAGCUUUAAAAUAGGGGAGAGUUAAAAUUAUAAGCAAAGGAAUAGGGUAUGGAUAUGGGGUUUGAUGAGCUGUGGGUUGCGUACCGAUGUGUGAUUGUCCUUUGGUCUUUUUGAUUCACCUUAAUUUUGUCUAAUUGUUUGAAGGUUGUUUUUUUUUUCCAUGCCAAGCCACUGUCUUCAAUGAAAGAAAUUUGUUUUGGUGUUUAGGAAUUUCGGCUAAAAACACCAAAAUUUAUAGAAACAACUUUCUUCCUUAAAAUAUGCUAUUAGUUCAUGUAAUUCUUAUAGUUUAAAAUUAAAAAUUUUAGUUUGAUUAUUAUUAUCAUUCAUAGUACUAGUUUCCUUUGAAAAUUUUCAAUUUAUUAUGUUUAAUUUCCAUUAAUCAUACACCACAUCAUUUGAUGGUAGCUUAAUCAAUGAUGUUUAAAAUUAUAUAUAAACAAUGAUUAAUUUUAGAUAUCAGCCUACUUAUUAAUACACGCACAACUGUUUAUAAUCAUAAUCUAUAAAACAUGAAAUUCAAUAUUUUAAUUUUAAUUUUAAUUUUAAUUAAAAACGGGCCGGGCCGGGCCGGGCUCGGGUUUCAUAUUUUUUCCCCGGGCCGGGCCUGGGCAAAAUCUCAGGCCUAUAUUUCGGGCCGGGCCGGGCCCGGGCUAGGACAUGGGCCGAAAAUUUUUUCUGGGCCCGGCCCGGCCCGGCCCAUGGAUACCUCUAGUCAUAAGCAGUUUGUGAAAUGAGUGAGAAAUGGUAAGUUUGGGUAAAUGCAUAGUGAAUCGAUGUGUAAAAAUGAUUAUAUGCAUGUUUAUAUGGUAAUAGAAGUUUUUGGCAUGAAAUUGCAUGAGAAUUGGCUAUGAAUUGAACUUGAAUUGAAUAUAUGCAAUUGAUUUAAGCUUGAUAAUGACUCGCAUCAUGGAAAUACCACUGAGCUUUAUUACUUAGCGUACGAUUUGUUUUCUCCAUGUGUAGGUAUAAGUAAAUCCUGAAGUUCCGAAGUGUGAUCCAGCAUCCAACCAGUGAUCCUCGACUCAACAAUGUUUGUAGUCUCAUUUUGUUAAAUAUAUGACAUGUACCUAAGUUGAAUCGGUUUUUACAUAAUGUGUGAUCAUGUUCGUUUUUAAUGUUAGAAAAUGGUAAUUGGAGAAUGGUCAAAUGGAUUGGUUUUUGUAUUAGAGUUUGGCACUUAGUUGGAUUGCUUAAAAUGUUGUCAUAUUUGUGAUCUAUAUAUGUAUGCGUAUGAUAAUUUAGUAGAAGUUUGGAAAUUUCCAUAACUGCAUAAAUUAAAAAAGUAUGUUUAUGUAUUUCAAUGCAUAUAUGGUAAGAUAUGUUAGAAAUGUAGAUUUGGGAAUGGUAUAUUUGGCUGAAAUAGGAAAUGAUUGAGAUGAAUCUGCUUUCUAGGUGAAGCUUGUUGGUACCAUUUUGGACCAUUUGCAAACACACAAUCAUAUCGCGCUGAGACCUAGUCAAUGAGUUGCGUCGCAACGAGAAACCCCUAAAAUCACGACGUUAACCUGAUAUUUUGCAAACUUUAUAAUUAGGUCCUAAUUCAACCUCGGGUUAGCAAAAGAGAUUUCGUAAGCCUAUGUAAGACUCGGAGAUGAUUGUAUAUUGUAUCAUAUGCAUGUUUUACCCUUAUUUAAAUGUUUAAUGGUAUAAUUUGAAUAUAAUUGAUCGCAAUUGCUUCGACAACGAAUGUGGCAUCCUGUAGCUCGGACCCAGCGAUUAGGUCGGGUAUUAGGUAUUGCAUGAAACAUAUGAAUCUCAAGUAUUCAUCAUUCAAUCAAAUCAUAUAUGAAUACCAACACGAAAAUAACUUUACUGACUUGGCUUGCAUGAUAGAAACUGGCUUGUGUUAACCAAUGACAUGUUUUAUUGUUAGACAAAUUUAGUUCCAUAUUAUUGUGACCUCAAACCAUAAGAGAAUACUCCAAUGUUGUUGUUCUUAUUCAGAUCUCAAAGAAUGAGUAAUCAUUAGAAUAUAAUUGAAAAUUAGAAUUUAGAAAUAUUUGGGUAUUUAGGCCAGUAUAUGUAACAGCCCGUUUUUUAAUUGUGUUGAAAAUGUUGGUUUCCGGCCACAAAUUUGACGAGUGAGUUUGUAAAUAUUAUUAUUUAAUAUUUACGAGUAAAGUAUCAAAUUAUGUCUAACUUUGAUUUAAUGAUUUUUUGUUAAUUAAAUGAAUAAUUAAGUUUAAGUGGUAUGCUUUAAAAGGCAAGUGGUUUUAGAAAAUGAGGUAUCAAGACCUCGUUUCUAUAAACCAAUCCCGUAAAUAUUUUAUUAAAUAUUUGCGGAGUGUUAUUAAGGUCGUAUUAAAAUUUGAUUAAGAAAUUUUAAUGUUUAGAUAGUUAAUUAAGUAAAAAUGACUAAAUAGUAUAAGUUGCAAAAGUUAAUCACUAUUAGUUUAAUUGUGCUAAAUGGCUAUGAAACCAUGAAUUGAAGGUUUUAUAUUGUAAAUAUAUCUAUUUAGGUGUUGAUGGACGGUUGUUGGGUUUUAAUUAGGAACAUUUUGGAUGUUUUAAAGGUUAAAAUUGUAAAUUCAUAAAUAAAACAAAAAUUAAAAGAAACCAAAAUAUGUUAUCAUCUUCAAAAGUUCAUCACCACCAAAAAUAAGAAGAAAACACACCAUUUUGUGAGUUAGAGGUUUGGCGAAGUUUGAUAUGAUGCAUGGUAUGUGAUUUAGAUUCGUUUUUAAUUAUUUUUAUGUUUUCGAACUCGUAAUAGCUUAAUCUAGUUAUCCCGAUGGUCAAUUUGUAAAACUAUUAAAUGUUAUAGAUUAUGCCGUGGCUGAAUUUGGUAUGUUUUUGAAAUUUAUGGUAGAUUCUUAAGCUUGGUUGUCAAAUAGGCAUAUUUUGUUAAGUAUUCUUUUAUGAUUUUAAAGUAUAGGGACUUAAUUAUGAAAAUGGUAAAAUUCAAUCAAAAUAUUGUGAAUUGAUCAUAAAUAUGGGUUGUUAUGAGACUAUGUAAAAAUUGGCUAACAUUAAUUUUAGCUAAAAAUGGUAAAUUUGCAAGUUUCAGGUUUAGAAACUAAACUGUAUAAAGAUAAAAUAUUGGGGGUAAUUUUAUAAAUUUCCCAUUAAUAAGGGUUAUAAGUUAAAUUAUUUAUUUUAAUUUAUUUUAAUGGUUUAAUUGAGUGAAAAAAUUAUUAUUUAGAUCACAAAAUAAGUCAAACGGAUCUAAACUGAGGAAAAGCUAUAUGUCGAAUUAGUCGUCGACUUCGUUUUUACAACUGUAUUUGUCGAGGUAAGUUCAUAUAAGGAUUGAAAUCAUUAUUUUUUGUUUUGGAUGAAUGUAAAUAGAUAUUUAUGCUAUGUUUAAAUUAAAUUGAUAAAGGUGUGAUAAAUUAUUAUUAUUACGGAUCAACUAGAGAAAUUAAUCAAAUUAAAGGAUAUGUGAAUAAUUAUUAAUAUGAUUGGUGAAAUUGUAUAUGGUGAUCAGGAAUUAUAGAUUGCCUCUUUAAAUGUUUACUUUGAUUAAGGUAAGUUCCUAGUGAGUUGUUAUGUAAAUGUAAGUUAAUUGUGAUUACACUAUUGUUUCUACUUAGUUGCUAAUAUAUAUGUGAAAUUUUAUUGGUUAUUUACAUAUAUAUUGGAAUAUUGCAAAUUAUUACAUAUGAAGUCGAGAAAUUGAUAGUAGUAUUUUUUGAGGUUGCAUAUUAAAGAUAUGGAAGUAAUGAAAUUAUGGUAUGUGUACGAAAAGGAUGAAGUGCCUCUAAAUGAUGGAAAUGUAUUUGAGUAAUGAAUUUAAGUGUGAAGCUCGGUUGAACAUAGUAAUCACGUAGGAUACGAUUGGCAUGCCAAUAGGGUUAGUAUACGCGUUUGUACGGGAUUUGUGCCUCUACCUGCACUUUGGUGCCUCUGUUAUACAUCUAUAAUGCCUCUGGUGUGGUGUAAUUACCCGAGUAUUCGAGUCAAAUUACUUAGUUCAUCGGGCUAAAUGUUAAUGAAAUUUACGGUUUACUUAUGUGUUUAAAUGUUGAUGCAUUUACAAGAUAUUAGAAAGUGUUAAAUGUUCAAUGGACUAUUUGUUUACAUGUGAGUACUUUUAUAUUGAUGAAAUGUUGUUAUGAAAUAAAUGGAAUUACAAUCUAUUUAUAUGCUUAUAUAUUAUGGCAUAUUUAUAGUAUUGGAAAGUGAAAGAUAUUAUAAUGAGUUUCUUAGUACAUAUAUGGACUGAUACUUUCAAUAAAUGUGAUUUAUGGUAUGAAAAUCCCUUUAAAAUUGAGGUUGUUUUGAUGUAUUUGGAUUGAAAAGGUAACAUUUUAAUUAUGUGGACGAAUGGUUUAUAUAGUGUAAUUCUUUUCAUGAUAUGAACAGGUAAUUAAAGCUUUACAGAGUAUAUGACUAUAAGAAAUGAUCUAUGAUUUAAAACAAGGAUAUAGAAUAUAGAUAAGUAUAGUUAAAAGAAAAUGAAGGUAUAAGGUAGUCAUAUGAUAGAUGAAUGACGAAAUUGAAAUACUUGAUAUGUUAUAUGCCUUGAUUGGGUUGGAUUUAUAUAUGCAUUGCUUCACCUACAAACCUUAUGAGGUAUGGUGUAUAGGAAAAAGAAAUUUGGUCUAUGACUAAAUGGAAUUACUCAUGGUUGCUUAAUUUAAUGCAAUUGGUAAGUUUAAGUUCCUUUAUAUGAGCUUACUAAGCACUAGUUACUUAUAUAGUUGUUUUCUUUGUUUUGUAAAUCAUCGGAAUGCUUGAAUAGUUGGAAUCUUCGUCGAAGCACGAUCACGCUAUCUGUCAAUCCACUUUGGUAGCUUUUGAAUAUACUGAAAUGAUUAUAAAUGGCAUGUAUAGGGUUGUAUGUCUAUUUGGUAUGUAUUGGAUUGUGCCAAGCCUUGGUGUGCCUUAAUGCUUUUGUUAUUGGUUUGUAUAUGAAGUGUAUUUAUAAGAUGUUAAUGGUUGUACAUGGCCUUUUCAAAUUAGGAAGGAAAUGGUUGGUUGAAAUGUUUUUAGAUGUGGGUAUUUGGUAUAUUUGAAGCAUGUUUAAUGAUUGAACUUAUGAUGUUAAAUUGAUUUAGGAUAAGUGUUUGAAAUGUGGUGCCUUUGAAUGGCAUAUUGGUUAGAACAUAUAGGUUAGAACAUAUAGGUUGGUUGAAUUGGUAUGUUUUGUAUGUGUCUAAGGUGUGUUUUGGUCAUAUGAAUGUGUAUAUGAAAUGUGUGUUUUGGUAUGCAAGUAUAGGUUUUGAAAUGGCUUGUUUUAAAGGCUAAAUUUGGAGUACAAGGCCUGGGACACGAGCUGUCACAUGGUUGUGUGCCACACACGAUCGUGUGUCAUUAAUAUUUUAAGUGCAGGUUUCAUACGGCCUAGGAUACGACCGUGUGUCUCAAAACAUUUUGUCACACGAUUUAGCACACAACCUGCGACACAGCCAUGUGACCCUAUUUCGAUUACACACAUGGGCAGAUACAUAGGCUGGGACACGGCUGUGUCUCCCUACUUCGAAUUUCUACAUAGUCUGAGCUAUGUCACACGGCCUAGCCACAUGGUCGUAUGACCCUUGCUUUCUCAAUUUUCAGGUUUUUCCUAAAAAAAUUUUAUUUACUCAAAAUGAUCCCCAAUCAUUUUUAAUUUAUUUUUAGGGCCACGAAAGCUCGAUUUUAGGCCCAAAUGUGUAUGUUUACUAUAAUUGGAAUGAGUUAUUGAAAAUUUAUACUUAAGUUGAAUUAUUGUUCUGUUUUGAAGUUUGUAACACCACUAACCCGUAUUCGUUCUCGAAACAGGGUUAUAGAGUAUAAUUAGAAUAAAUAGAUUAAAUACAGGAAUUUCAUAUUAUCAUUUAACAUUCAUGUUAGAUUUUAGUCGUAAAGUCCCUUAUGAGAGCCCUCGAGGCUCAAAUUUCACUUUAGAAUUGAAUCGGGACUAAAUCGAAAACUCGAAGAAUUUUUCGUAAAAUUUUAAAAUUUUCCAAAUUGCAGGGGUCACACGCCCUUGUGGUCAGGCCAUGUGGCUCACACGACCAAGUGACACACCCGUAUCUUAGGCCGUGUGGUAUUUGAAAUAAGGCACACGGCCGUGUCCCCAGCCCGUGUAACUCUCUGACUUGCAAUACAUUUAAGUGUAAGGGUCACACAGCCAAGCCACACGCCCGUGUGGCAGGCCAUGUAAAAAUUCCUGAGCAUUCUAUUUUAAAUUUUUAAGAUGCAGGGGACACACGGCUAGAAUACACGCCUAUAUGCUAGGUCGUGUGUCACACACGGCUGAGACACAUGCCCGUGUCUCUGCACGUGUGGACAAAAUAAGGUCAUUUCUAAGCCCUAUUUCUCACCCAUUCUUGUCUUCCACCUACAGUAACACUUAAACACAUUCUUAAUCCAAUAAAAGACCUUUAAACCAAGCCAAAACCAAGUCAUAUGCAUGAUAUUUUCAUUACAUGUAUUCAUAAACUCUAUCUUACUUAAUUGAUCAAAUUCACAUUUAUGCAUAUUUUAUCAAAUAUGCUAUCUUGAUCCAUUCAUCAUGUACUUACCAUCAUUUGAUCAUUUCAAACACACAUCAAGUAUAUUAAGACUAUUUACACAUCAAAACAUACCAAACAUAGCCCUUUAAAUGGCUAUUUACAACCAAAAUAUGUAUAUGUCAUCAAUGGCUAAGUUAACCUAUACAUGCCAUUAUAACCAAAAUUAGUUUCAUACUUGUACCGAAAAUUGGCCGGUGGAUAGUGUGAGUGAUCUCCGCCAAGCUUCCAACCCAAUGAGCUUCCGAAAACUAUAAAACAGAGGAAAUACAACUGAAUAAUCACUUAGUGCUUAGUAAGCCCAUAUAACAAAAAAUUUACUUAUCAUUUGUUUACAUUUAUAAUAAACAUACAAGAAUACAUCCAAAGCAAUUUGGCAAUUAGCCUAACGCAUAUAACCUCACAAACAUGUUAGUCAUGUAUUUCAUGUGAAUAAUAAGAACAAGGAUGAGCUCAUCAGGUAUCGAGUUUCCAAGUAUUUCAUGCAUAUAUAGAUAAUAGUUUCACUUUGAUUUCACAUGUUCUCAUGUCAGAAUUUCAUUCGUUGAAUCAUUUGAAAUCUCGAUAAAUACUUGGGUAGUAAAGCUGAAGUGUACAAUACUAUAAAUCUGUCAAUUCAUAUCCGGGAGUGUUUUUAUAAGCACUUAAACAGAAAGCUCUCCCUCAAGCACUAUAAUGGAAAGCUCAUUAAGCCUUGUACAGGAAGCUUAUCCGGGCAAUAUAAUGGAAAGCUUACAAAGAACCUGUAACGGGUAGCUCCGAAGAGCAAUUAACGGGUAACGGGAAGCACCAGAUAGCCAUAUAACGGGAAGUUCAAGUGAGCACUAACGGGAAGCUCACAAACAGCCUUUAAUCGGGAAGCUCACGAAGAGCUAUAUAACAGGACGCUCAUAAGAGCUGCGAUGUGCCUACAACACAUGUAAGGUCACAACCGAUCGGGAUGCUCCGAGCAGCAUUUAACGUGAAGCUCGCAAGAACACUAUAUAACGGAAAGCUUGAGAGGGCUUGUAACAGGAUGCUCUUUCGAGCUACGGUAUAUUCGCAACAUAUGCAAGACCACUACCAUUUUGGGAAACAGAACCCUGUAUCCAAUAGAAUUUCAUUCAUUCAAACGAGAUUUAACAUUUAUCGGGUAUUUUUCAGAUAUAUGAUCAGCUUUCAUAUACAUGGACAAUACACAAUUCACAUUCAAAUCAUUAAAAUCAAUUCGAACAUAUAAUUACACAAUUAAGUUACACGAACUUAUCUUGACAAAUGUUCGUGAAUCGUAAUCUACUAAUCCGAUACUUUUUCCUUUCCUCGAUCCAAUUCUGUAUUUUGUCUUUCCGGAUCUAUACGAGUAAAUUUAAAUUAAUUUAAUACAAUUCAUAAUCAAUUCAAUCCAUUUCACAUCUUCGAAAAAAUUACCAUUUGCCCCUAUACUUUUAACUAAUGACGAUUUCGUCCCUAGGUUCGAAAAAAAUGAAAUUCAUUCAGUUUAGUCCUUAUUCCAAGACUAGCUGAUUUUUACACAUAACAAUAAUAGUCCAUGAAUUUCUCAAAAAUUAGAAUUUUUCCAUGAAUUUUACAACUUACCAAUUUAGUCCCUAAAUCAUGUUUUCAUCAAAAUUUCCUUAACAAAAGAUGUUUAUCUAUCAACAAACUUUCAUUUUCUACCAUAAAACUUCAUAAUUCAACUAUAUUCAUCCAUGGAAAAAUCCUAGAACUUUGAUAAAUUUGCAAAUUAAUCCCUAAAAUAGCUUAAUUAAGCUAUUACGAUCUCGGAAACAUAAAAAUUACUAAAAAGGGGACAAGAAUUCAUACCUAAUUAAGCCAACAAAGCCUGCUUGAGCUCUUUUCUCUUAGCUAGGGUUUCCAUAAAAAAAUUGGGAAAGAUGAUGAUAAAUGAUGAUAUUUUUGGUUAUUUAAUUAUUUAUCAUCUUUUCAUCUUUUUCUUUCCAAUUCCAUCCUUUUCUUUAAUUAAAUUUCCAUGGAUGAAUCAUCAUCCUUAUCUACUAACUUCUCUUAAUGGUCUAUUUUCCAUAUCAGGACCUCAACCUUUAAAUUCCAUAGCUAUUUGAUACUUAUAGAUAUUAGAACCCAACUUUUGCAUUUCAUACAAUUUGGUCAUUUUAUCAAUUAAACAUGUAAUCAGUAAAAUUUUCUUAACAAAAUUUUCAUACGAUUUUCCUAUUAUAAUUCAAACCAUAAAAUAAUAUUAAAAAAAUUCUUUUCGGACUCGGAUUUGUGGUCCCGAAACCACUGUUUCGAUUUCACUGAAAAUGGGUUGUCACAAAGUUUAAGGUUUUGUUUUGUACAGUAACACUCCGUAACCCUAAUUUGGCGACAGAGACGGGUUAGGGGUGUUAUAGUAUAAAUAUAGAGGAAGAAUGUUUUGGGUUUUUGUGAAAAACUAAGAAGUUAGAAGGCCUAUUUAUAGGUUUUAGAAUUGAGGGUUUUUUUUACAACGAUGAUUUGAAUCCAAGCAAUUUCUUGGGAAGAUAAACACCCGACCAAUAUGCCACAGCUUGGGGCUCAUUAGAAUUAAGGUUUUGUUAGUGGCUUUAAGAUAAAUUUGACACCUAUGGGUUGAGUAGUCAAUAAAAAUUUCCGUUUCCCCUUCAAAUUAUUAGUUACAAAUUAAAGCCUAUGGGUUUUUUUUCUAAUUUUACAAAAAAAAUCGACAUCCAUAAGUGUCAAGUUUUGUUUAAAUAUUAUCCACAACGUUAGAAAAUUAAACAUUAUUACAACUUAAAUUUUAAAUAUAUCUAAAAAUAACUCUAACACUUGUAUGCAGAUCUAUUCAUAGGCAGAGUGGCCCAGUCAGCCAAGCCGAAUUUAGUUCGGACUUGGGCUAAGAUUUUAAAAUAUAUAAAUAUUAUUAUAAAAUAAUAUAUUUUAUUACUUUUAAAUAGUGAUAUGAGUUAUUUUGGUGAAUCAAGCUUGAGCAUGGACUUAAUUUUUUUUUAAAAUUCAAGCCUCGACCCGGCCUAUGAAAAUAUAUACUUGUAAUAUCAAAGUGAUGGAAUCAUUCCAAACUGGUUACCAUGAUUCCAAUAAUGCAUAAAAGACUUAGCGACAUAAUAAACAUCACUAAACUCAACGCUCAUGAAUCGUAAAUUCUAAUGAACCAUGCACAAACAAAAAAUUAUUAAUAACAUACACAGCAAAAUUAUGAUAUAAACCAUCAAUAAUUUUAAAAUUAAAUUUAUGUAAUUUAAAAAAAUAUAUUAAUGUCUCAUUGAUUCACUUACCAAUAUAAUACAUCAAAUAUAAACCUAUAAAAUAAUAAAAAUAUGAUUUCAAUGCAAAUGUUUCCCAACCAUCCUUACCCACACAUAUUAAAUUUUCAUUUAAUUUGACCCCAUCAUUCAAGUGUCAUAAAAGUCCCAUGACUCCGUUCCUCAACUUCAUUUUGUUUGUAUUCACUUAAUCUGUUUGAUUGAGCAUGGUCACGGAUGUCAACUAUUAACUUCUUUGUUUUCUUUUCUAAAGUAUCCAUUGAAUAUGAGUGUGAAGUUAUAAUUUUUGAAAUAUAGGAAGAAUACACCGACUUGGAAUAUAAAAGUGAAGCAUAUGCACAAAAGUUUAUUUAUCUUUUAAAUGAUCCUUUUAGGAAAAUCAUAUUUCCAUGUUUAAGUAAGUAGCACUGUGAAUCAACAUUAAAAUUUAAACUAUUUUAUUUAAGACUUUCGGAAGAUUGAUUUUUCACGUUCUUCUAUUUAUUUCUGGAAUUCAUUAUGCAAUUUUUUGGGUUAAUAUAUACGGAACCUAAAUUUUUUUUAGGACCUAAUUGAUAUAUAAAUUUGAAAACCACAAGUCAACUUGGUACCUUUUUUAGAUACUUGACUAAUACUGUUAAAAUAUGCUAACAUGGCACUAAGGACCAAUAUCAUGGUGACACAUGGCAAUAGAUUAUUUUUUAAAAAAAAUUAAAAAUUUUCUAGAUUCAAAAUGUAAGGCUACCCCAUGUCAUCUUGCUAUUAGUUAUUAAUGUCACAUAUCAGCAUACUUUAAUAGCUUCGGGUACCUAAAAAGAUAUUAAAUUAGCUAACGACACCAAAUAGGUAUAAGUUACUUUGUAUAUAUUAACUUUGUUUUUUCUGGUUGCUUUAUUAGCAUUUGGAAGGUGCAAAGUUUGAGGAGCCUACUUGCCUUGGCGCGAUCAGGUCUUGAUGGGGCUUCACUUUUCUAGUCAUAGCAAUAUAUAUUUCCUUCUCUAAUCUUUUAGGUAUUACCAGCUAAAGGAUAACAUUUCUAUUAUCUGGAGGUUUAGAGGGAUUUUAAUCAGUAAACGUGGAUGUGAUGUGGCAGAUGGUUGCCGACAGAAUAUUGGGUGGGAAUUGUUGUUGUCCUGUUCUGUUGCCGCUACCCUUUUAGUGGGACACCAAUUUGUGGACCAAACCAAACCCACCGCCCCUUUCAUUUCUAAUCUCACCUUUAAUUUUGUUACGUAUUGGAUUUGAAUUUUAUUAUCACUUAAUAAUAUUAUAUGCUAUCCACCUCAACAACGUAUAUAUACACAACAUGGAAUUUGACAUUCAAAUUAGUUGGACAGAAACCAUAUAUAACUCAAUCUACACAACACAACAAUAUAUAGACAACUUCAUCCUUUUUUUACUCUUAUUUUUCUUCAAGUAUUCACAACAUGAGUAUAGAUAUAAAAAUAUGACCUCUUCACAUACGUUAAAAAACACAUAAAAUAAUCUUAAUCUUAAUCAUACUCAUGUCACACGUGCAAUUCCAUUUAACAGUCUUUGCCCCACCAUUACCUGAUUGCUCCAAGCAAGUUGGCUCCAUCGAGCUUUGCACCUUCUAAGUGCUGAUAAAUCAAAACGAGAAAAAAUACAAACAAAAAUUAUGUAACGAAUUCCGGUAAGGUAUCUGAAAAAAGUAUAAAGACUGGUAAAUCUUUUGACUUGAUCUGCAUCAAUGAUGCAUGCAAUCCAGAAGUUUUAGAUAACAAGCAUCCAUGAUGUUGUGUGAAAGUUUUUAGAUAAUUGCACACUAAAAAAACUUCAUAUACUUACCGUAUCACAAAGAUUAACAUGAUGUAAAUAAGUCCUUCGGAGGUUUGCACCCUUCAAAUUCGCAUUGCUUAAUUUCGCACCCUGAAGACUAUGUUCAUUACAAUGAACUUAAUCACAAUAAACAUGUUGGGUCAAAACAAUUCAUUCGAAUGUUUAUCAAUAAUAUCGAGCUUGCUAGAGUUACCAGGAUAAGUUAUCGCACAUAUCAAAUUAAGUUAUUGAACCCUAGUAUUUUCUGUUUGGGUGCCUAAUGAUAACUUCACAUAAAUAAAAUAAUACAUGUGCUAAAGCAAUUGACUUGUAAACGCCGUGCUUAAGGGUCUCUUACCUUCAAAUUGGCUCCUUCAAGAUUAGCUCCCUCUAAGUUGGCAUCAGUAAGAUCAGCACUCUAGAAGUCCAGAGAUUAAGCAUAUUAAUAGUUUACAAUAACACAACUGACACACUAAGCAUGUAAUUUUAAUUUUAAUCAUUCAACCAAACCAUUAUAGCUCAAACAAUCACGAAUCUGAAAAUAUUAUUCCAACAAGCUUAAGGAAUUUAUGGUAACCUAAGAUCUUGUAAUUUCCUAAUUUAUAUAUGUACAUUCUAUUCUAUUCAAUUCAAUGAACCACCUUUGCUUGUUGAUUUUAAUUUAGUGAAUCCACUGUAAGUGUGCACAACGAAGAUCAGCCCCGCAGAAGCUACAAUCUAUCAAAGAAGCAUCUGCAACAAUGUAAUUGAUGAUGAUACAUCAAUAUUUAAACCUUAACAGUAAAAAGAGGCAUUUAGCUAAGUUACUUGGGCACUGGUGUGAAUGUCCGAUAUGGAUAUGCUCAAUUUUUCUGUUUCAGGAGUUCCAUGUAUUUGAAGAGUCUUUAUAGGACCAUAUCUCUAUAUCUAUAUCCAGACAUGUGUCUAACAUAGGUAUUGGACAUCGGUACUUCAAGAAUAUAGACUUUUAGUAAGAAAUCUACUAUCUAUAGAAAGAUGGCAAGUAUUUGCCUUGAAGAUUUGCACUCUGAAGAUUCGCCCCGUUAAAUUCACACCUUCCCUAGGCAAAAAUAAAACCCGUUGCAAACAAAGUUCACAAGAAAAUGCACUCUCCAAAAAGGAUAAAUAAUUCUGAGGAUCUUACUUGCGCAAAGUUGCAUUGUGAAAAUUCGAACCCACAGCAUCCACAUCCUGUUACAAAAACAAAGAGGUUUAUUAUAAGUAUGGGCUUAAAUUUAAUUAAGGCAUUGACAGUUAAUCACAUACUUCACUUAAGAACCAGACAUACCCGAAAUUUUGCACACCGAAGAUUUGCACGUGAGAAAAGUACGUUUUUGAGACAGGCAAAGCUGAAAUCCACAAAUGAAAGAUCCUGCACAAAUAAAGAGGGAAAAAGGAGAUGAUGAAUCCAAAGUGCAAUAACAAGCUGCAUUACAUUACUUCUGCUUCUUCAUUAGACUUGAAGUUGAACCACAGGGGAUCGAAUGAUAAUAAAGAGAGACAUCAAACAUUCGGAUUAAAACUAAAACACACACACACAUUCAACAAUCCAAAAGAAAAUGCCACAAAUAACCACCAUCAUCAUGGAUCAGCGAAAACGAGAAAACUAGUAUUAGAUCCAAGAGGCAUGCACAAAAGCUACAAACAGAAGAUCAAUGAGAACGAGUCUCGCUUCCUGCGAACAAAGAUUCUACUUCUCAAAAAUAAGAGUUUCACACAAGAUUUUGUCAAAAAUUUGGGAUCAGAAAUUAUUUACCAAUUUAGAGAGAUCAAGGCCAGAAAGGUUAACUCCUCGAAAUUUAACUCUUUCAGACUGUAUGCACUUGAUGACAUCGGUAUGCGUCAAUUCUGCUGGAGACUUUUCAUCUUCCUUCCUCUUAUUAAGAACAGAACUUAUUCCUUCUAUUAAUCCCUGAAUCAUAUCACAUUAUACCGUCACUGAACAAAAUUUCAAGAGAUCAUACCAUGGGCUGCAAAUAACAAGCACCACUCUCAAACAAUGGCCUAUGACCAAAACUAUAAGGUGGCGGUGGGCAAGGGGUGGUCAACGCAUAAACCAUUGUGAUCUAUAUAGAUCACUGUAUUUGGUAAGGCAUUCAGUGACCCAACAGUGCAGUGAUCUUAAAUCAUUGAGAAUUAUUAGAAUUGCACAUUUAAUAUAUGAAUUAAGAACUUGGUUUCUGUCAAAUAGCUGUUGAUGUUUCCCAUAACAAUAUGACUUAUGAGUAGCUGGUAAUAUUCUGCCUCUCGUAUAAGCUCUGAAUAUUCAGAAUCUGUCAAUGUCGGUACAACGCCAUCCCUUAACCAGUUUAGAAUAUGCCUGAAAUGCUUUCCAUCUCUGUCAACAAAGACAUAUCCCUGCAAGAGUAUUGAGGAAUAUGACUAUCUGCACUCAAACAAAGUCGCUUCACAAAAAUUGAUAUGAAAAGCACAUAAAAUUUAUUUCCCUUGUCCUCCUUUUGAGGUUUACUGUGAAUAAAUAAUGUGCUGGUGGAAAACAAAACAAGUUUGCAUUGCUCCUCAAAGAAACAUAACUAUCAAGAACCAACAGUUCAGUGCUAUCAGUAGUAUGUUAUCAUGAUCUAAUCAAAUGCCUGCAAUAAUACGUAAGAUUUAGUCAAUAAAAAACUAUAAUUACCACUUGCAUUUUGUGGUCAAUGUCUUUUCUGGAAAGUGAAAGUAACAUCAAGACCUUGAAAAUUUCUAAAAUCUGAUAUGAACUGUUAUUACAUGAAUCGAAUACAAUACAAUACGAUUUACUGGUUCUUAAUACUUUGUUAGACAAAUAAUAUAACUAGCUUCCACAAUAAUCAUCCACAGCCUAUCAUGCAUGAUAAACAUAACAUUCACAACACCUGUAUCUAAACUACUGCAAAGGUGAAAAUCAAAUCCUUUCAGUAAACAGAAAUCUUUAUCCCGAAAUUAGAAAAAGUAUAUCGCACCAAACAGAAACAAAUAGAAAAGGCUGUAUUUCUUUUUCAGCCACAUUUCCCAACGAAAACAAAGAUACAUCCCCUAAGAAUGCAAAGGAAACUGCAGAAUAUUACUCAUAAGUCCACAUAACAAUAACGGUAUGUGUACGCAAAGGAAAAGAACAGUAUAUACCUUCUCAGAGUCCUGAUACACUGUAUGUCGACUGCUAAAGACAGCAGCCAGCAUAGAAUCUGGCUCACGCCGAGUUAAUGUAUCAAUGGUAGUACAAAAUUUCUUCCCUCCUGCACAUCAAAUUUUCAUUCAAAUGAAGCUAUAGCUUUAAAUUUAAACUAAAACUAAAUUAGUUACAAAAUUCAACUCCACAAUCUUUUUACAUCAAAAACAACUAAGACUUAAAAGAUAAGUGACACCCAGAAAAGCAAAUGCAGCAAGUUCACAUGUACGUACAUCAGGUUCCUGAUUCAGAAAAUGCCAAAUUCAGAAAAUCAAACAAAGGGGUUUAACUUGAACCAUUAAUCAAAGCUGAAGAGCUAAGAGAAAAUUUUGGGGUUUUCUUGUUUAUUAAUGAACCGAUCGAAAAGUCUUUUAACUUUUUACUAAAUUAAGCAACUGACUGGGAAUUGAUGAAAGAAUAUGUAGAGAUUACUUGAAAUGCAGAGAAUUUUACCAAUGCUGAGUCGAACAAGCGAAGGCAAAUUGGAAUCUUCCAUCAGAAAAGAUGAAAUGAAAAUCGUCAAAAUUAAAUGACUUGUUGCAGCAGUCAAGCAAGUAAGCAAGCAAUUGUUUGGGGGGAUGCUGCCAUUGCCGUGGGCUCCCUAAGUUUGUCAAAUAGAUCUUCCGUUGGGUAUUUAACUGGUUUUGUCGGUAAGCAUGGCCCAUGGGUCGAAUCUUGAUUCGGGUCAUAGUUAGAGCUGUCCCAGGAUCCGGUUCUGAAAACGGGUUUUGUGGAUUUGGGUCUCUUGGAUUUAUAUAUAAAUAACUAGUCUUUUUUUACACCUGCAAUUUACAGAUUGAUUUGUGUUUAAAUUAAAAAAUAUUAAAUUCUUUAUAUUUUUAUAAAUUUUAUGAUGGUUUGUGAUAUCAAUAUUUUUUCUUUUAUAAAUCAGACUAGUAUAUUAAAAAAUAAGACAAAUAUAAUUAGGCUAACAAAAUUUACGGGGAAAUUACCAAUAAAAGCCGGUUUUUUUCAAAAUUUAUCGAAAUGGGCCGAUUUUUUGAUUAUUUACCGGAAUGGUCCAUUUUCCGGGAAAUCGUGUCCACGUCAGCGCGAUGUCAGGGUACAUGUCAGGACAUCACGUCCACGUCUGCUGACGUGGACGCGAUGUCCUCCGCGCGUGAACAGUACCCCAACGGUCAAAAAAAAAACUAUAAAUACCACCCACCCCUUUAUUUUUUUUCACAAACAAAUCCUAUCUAAUAUUUCCUCUCUAAUCCUCUCAAUUUCCUUCCAAAAUUCUCUCAAUUUCCUUCCAAAAUUCUCUGAAACCCAUAUUUAAUUUCAAUUUCCUCUCAAUUUCCUCCGAAAAUUCUCUCAAAUCCAUAUUUAAAUUCAAUUUCCCCUCAAUUUCAUUUUUUAAAAUAAUUUUAUAUUUUUUAUAUUUUUUUAAAAUAAUUUUAAAUUUUUUAUAUUUUCAUCAAUGGCCGGAUCAUUGAUUCGUCUUGAUAGGAAUCACAUAUUGGUGGAGCAAAUGAAAAUGGUAAGUAUUAAAUUUAAUUUUUAAUUAUUAUUUAAGAUUUUUUAUUUAUGUAUUUUUAGAUAAUUAUUAAUUUAUUAUUUGUUAUAAAAGUCAGAAGAUCCGGUAUUGGAAUGCAAUAUCCAGAAUAUGCAUGCUCCUCCAUCACCGUUAGUAGAGAACUACCUGCGGGAAGCGGGUUUUUGGCACGUAGCGACGGUAGGUCGGGGAUGCAAGUUGGACCCGAAACUGAUUAGUGCGUUGAUCGAGAGGUGGAGACCCGAGACGCACACAUUUCAUCUUCCAUGUGGAGAGUGCACUAUCACUCUAGAAGAUGUCAGCAUGCAGUUGGGAUUGCCAGUGGACGGGCACCCAGUCACCGGGUCUGCCCAAUCUAGUAAUUGGGAGGCGGUGUGCUACGAGCUUUUGAGCGCUAUUCCGGAAAAAAUGGAUGGAGGUAAGGUCGAGAUGGGCUGGUUACGUGCCACAUUCCCCGAUCCGAAUGCAAAUUCAACUGAAAUUGAAAGAAUCUGAUAUGCUCGAUCAUGCAUUCUUCAAAUAAUUGGAGGUUAUCUGAUGCUGGACACGUCACGGAGCCAUGUACAUCUAAGGUGGCUGCUAAAACUCGUUGAUUUUAGAAGAGCCGGUGAAUUUAGUUGGGGGUCUGCCGUCUUGGCAACAUUAUAUCGGGAGAUGUGCGAGGCGACGCGACCGAGGAGAGCAAACAUCGGAGGUUGCCUGUCACUACUGCAAUCAUGGACUUAGUUUCGCUUUCCAUUUCUACGUCCUCGAGUGAACCACCCAUAUACAUUCCCACUCGUAACGAGGUAAAUUUUAUAUUACAUUUUGGAAUUAUUAUGUAGAUUUUGUAAGAAUAAAAGUAUGCUAAAUAUUUAUUUAAUUAGGUGGAACCAUCCGGCAAGUUAUCAUGGAUUACCGUCUGAACUUGAAGAUAUACGGCUUCUAUUGGACCAACGGUCAGAAGCAGAAGUAAGUAUUAUUGCAAAUAGAUAUUUCCAUACAUUCGCUAGUCAAUUGAUAUUUAGUAUUUAGUAUUUAGUAUUAUGUAUAUAACUAAUAUUUCUAUCAUGUUCAUAUAGUUUCAAUGGACACCAUACGAGGAUCCGACAAUUCUGGCAGUAAUCUCGGAAGAGUUUUUACAAAAUCUAAACGCUUGGCACGUGAAAGUGGUGUUGAUCAACUAUGCAACCGUGGAGCCCCACCAAACAGACAGAGUGCUACGACAGUUUGGAUGUAGACAACCGAUUCCUGCAGACCUUGAGGAGUUUGACGAGCACCACAAAAUCGACCUUCAACUAUUAGGUAUGGAUUGGCGUAGAUACUGGUCCGAGUACGAGGAAAUGUGGGAAAAUCGACAUGAAUAUCUACCUACUCGGGAACAAAUCAUCGUUCCGAAGUUAGUGUGCGUUCCAGAAUACAUGCCAUGGUUUAGGAUCCAUGGCAAGCCGUAUUUACUUACGGCAGAUGAGAGGCAGCAGCAAACACGUGUCGGAAGGGAAAGGCAUGAGCCUCUAAAUCUAAGACGAGAAGACUACGAAGGCAGCCUCUCAACGAGGCCCAGACAGUCACCCAGCUCAUCAUCAGCGGCCAUGCAAUCACCGGCCCCAACGAGAGCACCGACGCAGUCACCUGACGCAGCAAUUCAACAGAUGAUACCCACGCAACUGCCUUUCCCUAUGAUGCCAGUGUGUUUCCUAGCCCUUAUAUUUACCCUAAACCUUACAUAUAUCCUUUUCCAAAUACUAUGGCAGGUUGGAGCCAAAUGUCCGGUUUAGCUCCAUUUCCUGUUAUGUCGAAUGACCGUCAAUAUCUAGGCCAGCGGCGCAGGAGGGAUCGCAAGGGGGGCCAUCGGAGAGCUCUCCUUUUCCGAAUACUAUGGCAGGUUGGAGCCAAAUACCCGGUUCAGCUCUAUUUCCUGUUAUGCCGAGCGGAUCGUCGAUAUCUAGGCCAGCGGCGCAGGAGGGAUCGCACAUACCUUCGGGGAGCUCUCAUUUUUACCAAUCGCCAGCAACGUAUGGCUUUCAAACACCGUCACCGUUCAUGAUGCAAACACCUCCACAUACACUAUUCUUUAAAGGUGGAUCAUCGUUCCAAGUUCGACAACUAGAUGCCGAACCGGAAGAAGCACAAUCACCACCAGAGGAAGAACAACCGCCUCCGGAAGCUAGAGGAAGGAGGAAUCUAGCGCGCAACCAUCGACGGCCGCCAUGUUGAACCGAAUCCCUCGGGCAUAGACAUUGAUUGUCGUAUUUAAAUUUAUUAUUUGAUGUAAUAAAAUAGAAGUUUAUUUGAUAUAAUAGGCAUAGAAAUUUUUUUGAGUUAUUUUAAUAUUAUUUGAUGUAAUAAAAUAGAAGUUUAUUUGUUAUAAUAGGCAUAGAAAUUUUUUCGAGUUAUUUUAAUAUUAUUUGAUGUAAUAAAAUAGAAGUUUAUUUGAUAUAAUAGGCAUAGAAUUUUUUUCGAGGUAAUUAAAAACCCUAACCCUAACCUAACUUAAUUAAAAACCCUAACCCUAAACUAAUUUAAUUAAAAACCCUAACCCUAACCCUAACCUAACUUAAUUAAAAACCCUAACCCUAACCUAACUUAAUUAAAAACCCUAACCCUAACCUAAUUUAAUUAAAAACCCUAACCCUAACCUAACUUAAUUAAAAACCCUAACCCUAAACUAAUUUAAUUAAAAACCUAACCCUAAACUAACUUAAUUAAAAACCCUAACCCUAACCUAACUUAAUUUUACUAACCAUUAACACAAUUUUUGGACUUAAUAAUUUUACAUAAUUUGAUAAUUUUACUAACCAUUAACACAAUUUUUAGACUUAAUAAUUUUACAUAAUUUGAUAAUUUUACUAACCAUUAACAAAAUUUUUCUGGCUUAAUAAUUUUACAUAAUUUUACAUAAUGUUAGAUUUGGUAAAAUGUUUUGACUGGUACUAACAAUUAAGAAAUUAAACUAAUUUGAUAAUUUUACUAACAAUUAAUACAAUUAUCAAUUAAUAAUUGAAGAAAAUAUAUUUUUUUCUAAAAUUACAUUCAGCUAUUGCUAUUAGGGCAUGUAAGACUUGUAUGGCCUGGGUUCCUACACCAUCCGCACAACUUCUGUUGACUGGCUGCUUCUCGGAUAUCCAUAUUGUUCCGUAUUCUGGUGGAGCAAGGUCGACCCUUUAGUUUGCGACGCAAUUCUCUAUCCGGUAACAGCUUAAAAGGAGCAAGAGAUACGGGCGGCCACUUACGUUCAUCUGGGACCGGUGGAAAAACGUGUCUCCAUACGUUGUACAUGUUUUCUAGUUUGUACACUUUGUCCACAUAACUCAUCGGAUUCAGACGGAGUUUCUGACAAGAUGCAAUAACAUAAGCACAUGGAUAACGAAGUGCAUCAAACUUUCCACAGUCACAAGUUCUGUUUCGCAAGUGUACACGAUACUGCCCGUCAACAACACCUUGGUACGGUCUGUCAAACUCUGUCACGCGAAACCAUAAAUUGUCUCGAUCGUCACACACUGCGUGCAUGAUGUUUACCCUCGCCAUCGCCUUGUUAAUUUCUUGAACUACCUUACUGCACCAUACAUGGCCACCCUGCAUCUGGCCUGCAUAAGUUGCUGCUCGCUUUGGAAAUAGCACCGCCAAUCAGAAAUAUGUCUCUCGCACAACCGAUGUUAUCGGUAGAUGGUGCGUUCCUUUAAGAACAGAAUUUAUGCAUUCAGCCAGGUUCGACAUCAUAUGGCCAUAUUGUAGGCCUCCGUCGUAUGCUUGUGUCCACUGUUCGAAACGUAUGUUACAAAGGUAGUCCGCCCCUUCUCCAUUUUGGGAUCGUAAAAUGGCCAACAUCUCCUGAAAACGAUCUUUAUUUAUUUCAUACCCUGCCAAUAUAAGAUAAUAGCGAAUAUUUUAUACCACUUCUACCAAUAAAACUAAUUCAAAUUGACAAACGAAAUAAUACAGUUAUAAACUAAAUACCCAUGUUGGUCACUUGUCGUCGUUUCCUCUUAGAUGGAUAUUACCUGUAGUAGUUCUAAGCAACGUGUCUUAGGCAAUAUCUAUGGUGUGUGCGCUGCCACAAGCUUCCCUCUCGAUCAAAUGCAGCUAGUAUACCGACGCCCGGAUCUGAAAUAACACAGAUAUCAGGUUGGGGGCAGACAUGCCUCCUUAACCUAGAGAGAAAGAAAUCCCAGUCAUCAGACAACUCCCCCGGUGUUAUUGCAAAUAAAAUUGGAAGAAUUCUCCUACCGCCGUCCUGUGCCACUGCAACCAAUAGCCGAUGAGUAUACCUACCGAACAUGAAGGUACCGUCAAUUUGUACCAACGGCUUGUAGUAUGGAAAUGCGUCUCGGCAUUGCUUAAAGGUCCAAAAUAGGCAUUUGAACACUUGGCAUCCACGCAGCAAUCGGUCGUUGUAGUACGCAUGUUCCAUUUCAAGGUCUGUGAUGGCACCUGGGACGUAUCUCUCUAGCACCUGACACCACUGCCAUAUUUCAUUAUAUGAGGCGUCCCACCCACUAUGCAUAUUCUCCAACACCUUUUUCUUAGCUAUCCAAGCCUUACGGUAAGAGGACGUGUACCCCAUUUGGCUACGGAUAUUGGCAAUUAUCACUGGCACUGAAAUCCUCGGAUCUACUUUUAUCGUGGGCAGUAUCAAGCUAGCUAACAUAGCUGAAUCCAUUUUGGGAUGAUCUUGUGAAACACCUACAGAGGGAGUACAUUAAAUAAUGCAACAUUGCAAAAUAAAAUUAUUAUUCAGAUACAUUCAAUCAUGUACCUACAGCAAAUGUAUGUGGACCUUUGUACUUUUUUAUCUCCCACAACCCUGUCCUUUUCCUUAACGAGGCGACGAUUUUCCAUGAACAUAUGUCGUCUUGCAUCGCACACUUCGCCUCAAACUUAUCAGAUUUUAAUUUAACAACGUGGUAAUUAACGUCGUUUUUGAUGCUAUGCUGUUUCAAAGCACCAAUAAAACUAUCCUUGUUGGUAAACUGAUUACCAACUUCAAGUUCACCGAAAUCUACCCCCGAACUUGUACGAUCGCGCAACCGGUGUGGUAGAUCUGGAAACUCUAACGUAUCAUCUGCUGAAAAAUCGACAUUAUGCAUGUGGGCUGAAGGUGAGUAUGCUCUGAAUCGUGGAUUUUCUUCAUCAUCUGAACUCCUUUCAGCAUCUUCACCUUCUGUUUGAAUAGGCUCCGAUUCAGAAAAUAAUCUCACUUCUGUACCAUCCAGCCCGGGCUCUCGAGGUGGAUCUACAUCAAAGUCAUCUCCUAACCCACAAUCAUCUACAGCAUACGACGUCCCCCCACCGGUUAACGUCGUAGGUAGUACGUCAUCCCUUCUUCUGGGUAUUCGAUAACGUCCUCGAUUGGAUAUAGAUUGCCAUCCACUAGAACUUGAUGCAGUUCCCCAGUACGUAUUUCCAGCAUCAAACGUCGAGCCACCGACGUACAUGUCCCAUCCAUCGACAGAGUGUCUUGCGGGGGAUGUGCAUUUGACACCGCUACCAAAUAUGGGCUGUUCUGUAUUUUGUAACCUGCUAACCGAGUGUCGGCCAGGGGUAGUGUAUACAUCUCGAACACCGGACGGAAGUACGUCAGUUGGCGACGUAAAUUGUACAUAUAACUCAAAAUAAGUUGCUCCACUAGCAAGAUGAGUCUGCACCAUUGCCUUCAAGCUACGAGCACCUUUUAUGUCGAACGAGUCAUAUGUCACCGGAUCAACACAAGAAAAAAAUUGAUACGUGAUUGACAGAACUUUCAUUGGCGUCGUUCUGAAGAUUUUACGCCUAAUUCUUUUACGAAGUUCUAUCAAAUCUAUGUUCUGGUUAAAUGACAGUCGCACCGUAUUCUUCGACAAAAAAACAACACCAUUCUCGGUGUGGCAAACCUCACCAUCGUAGUAAAUAACAGCACUAAUACGUUCACUCAUUUUGAAACUCUAACUUUCUUAGCCUCUCUAAAUUGUUUCUGUUAUGACUUAUGUAUUCUAAGAAUAUUUUCUGCCUAAUUUAUAGCUUCAGCCCAAACUUGCUACUGUAGCAAAAUCGCGUCCACGAGGGUGCGAUUUCACAAUUUUUUUCUCAAAUAGCAUCCUGGUAGAAGCGAUUUUAUACUAUUUACUCAGAAACGUUAACAAAAAAAUUAUUUCUUACAUGACCUACUGUAGCAAAAUCGCGUCUACGAGGGCGCGAUUUCAUAAUUUCUUCUCAAAUAACAUCCUCGUAGAAGUAAUUUUAUACUAUUUGCUCAGAAACGUCAAAAAAAAUUUAUUUCUUACAUGACCUACUGUAGCAAAAUCGCGUCCACGAGGGCGCGAUUUCACAAUUUCUUCUCAAAUAGCAUCCUGGUAGAAGCGAUUUUAUACAAUUUGACCAGAAACGUCAACUCGAAAUAAUUUAUUCCGGGACCUAAAAACCCUAAAAAGCCUGAACCCUAAACCCUAAAAGCCAAAAAAACCAAACGUGAAAAAUACGUCAAAAUCGCGUCCCCAGGAACGUGCUACGUGGUAGGACAUCGCGUCCACGUCAACGCGACCUACUAACGAGGAAGGAAAUCGCGCUGAUGUGGACGCGAUGUCUUGCAAUGUACCCUGACAUCGCACUGACGUGGACGCAAUUUCUCGGAAAAUGGACCAUUCCGGUAAAUAAUCAAAAAUUCAACCCAUUUCGGUAAAUUUAAAAAAAACGGUUUUUUGGUAAAUUAGCCAAAAUUCACAAGCCCACCAAAAAACAAAAACAUAACCCAACAGUAGCAAAAAAAAAUCUUAAAACAUGUACCAAAACAAACAAAUUAAAAAAACUAAACAGAAAAUUAAAAUAAAUUUCCAGUCUGAUCACAGUUGGAAUCCAAUCAGCAUAUCCGUAAUUAAUGCACCAAUUCCAGUCCCCAGAAAAGCGAUUUCCAAACCCAUCAACUAUCUCAUUUUCUUUUUUUCUUUCUACGCAAAGACCACCUAUCGAACAACCCUCAAUCAGGUUUUCUUUUUCUCCGCAGAUCCACCUCCGAUGUUCAUUGCUCAAGGACCCUUCUGAUUAGGUAUGCUCGCGAAUCUUCUUUCAUCGCCUCUCUAGCUAAGUUGUGAGCCAUAAGAUUUGCAGAUAUGUAUGUAUGUUGAAAGGCUAUUUGGUGAAAAGAUUGCUUUUGCUGCUGAAUGUUUUAUAUUAUACCCCCAAUCACCAAUUUAUCAGUCUUAUCUGAUUUACUUUUUUUUAUUAUUGAUACUGAGUCUCCUUCGAUGAUAACUAAUAUGAACCCCAUCUGUUUUCCCAUAAACACUGCUUUGAGGCACGCUAGGGCCCCUACUGCAAACGAAAAGGCCACCUCUCCGUGAACCACUGUUUUGAAGGCGAAGACCUCUCCUGAGGCAUUUCUAACCACCACCCCUGAGACUCAUUUUAUCCGAGAUUUAUCAAAAGCGACGUCGAAAUUAAGAUUGACAAUGGAACCAACUAAUAGGCACCAACCCAUAGACUCGUACCUCAUGGUAAAAUCUCGAACCUCACACCCAUAAGGUUCCUUAAUAUAUUUGUUUAUCCAUGCAGUAACUUCUGGGCCCGUACUUUUUUUUCUCUCGUGUAAUCCUUUGUUUUUGCCCGUCUAAAUCGCCUAAAAAGGGCAACAAAAUACUCAAUAUUGAAUGAUGGAACUAUUCUUGAACACCCAAGUAAGCCACUCCCAAUGUAACAAAAUCAAAUUUGUUAAUACCCAUUCCAGAUUCAAAUUAAUCCAAACUUCUCGCAUCAUAGGGCAUUCUCUGAAGAUAUGAUCGAUGUUUUCAACAGUUGCUCUAUAUCUGGGACAUACUACCACUGAUAGGAAUCUCUUACACCGAAGAUUAACAAAGUGGGGAAUAAAAUUCCAAGAAAUUUUCCACAUUAGGAUUUUAAUUUUCCAUGGAAUGUGAAUAUUCCAUAAUUUUUUGUAAAAUAAAUUAGCCUUUAGCCUGUAAAUAAUUAGGAAGAAAGCCAUUUAAAAGUUUGUAAGCACUUCGCACAGAGAAUUCUUUUGAGGCCUCCCCUUUCCAUACUAUGAAGUCCACAUGAGGUUCCAUUGCUAAGGGAAUUCGAACAAUUCUAUUUGCCUCUUCUCUGAAGAAGGUAGACAAAAUUAAGUCAAACUUUCAUUCUCUCUUUUGUUCAUCAAUAAGAUCCAUUACUUUACCUGAGUUCACACUGUCAUUCCUAAUUGAUUCUGCCUUAUAACUUACAGAUCCAGGGAGCCACGCAUCAGUAGCAAUUAAAAUAUUCUAACUCGUUUCCACCCUCCAACAAAUCCCAGUCUUUAGCAAUCUUUUAAUUUCCCAUACACUCUUCCAGAUAUAUGAAGGUAGUUGUCCUAACUCAAAAUUAAGAAAAUCUAUAUUUGGAAAGUACUUAGCCUUUAGAACUUUCGUUAAUAAUGAAUCUAAAUAAUUAAGAAUACGCUAACCUUGUUUAGCUAAUAACGCAACAUUAAAUUGGAUAAACUAUGGAAUCCCAUACCCCUAUUCUCCUUAAGAUCGCAAAGUCGUUCCCAACUGCACCAAUAAACCCCUUUUCGACCUUGUCCUUUUUACCACCAAAACUGAGCCAUUAUGCUACCCAAUUCCAUACACAAAGACUUUGGAAGUAAAGAACAGGUCAUAGUGUAAGUGGGUAUCGCCUGUAAAUCAACUUUAAUAAACACUUCCUUAACUCAUUGAGAAAGGAACCUCACAUUCCAAUUCUCAAUCUGUUGCCUCAUGCAAUCAUUUAAGAGCUGAAAAGAAACUUUUUUAUUUUUCCCCACAACAUUCGGCAAACCAAGAUAUCUUUCCAUAUUAUUUGAAUUUCUCACCCCAAGAAUAUUAGAAACAACUCGCCUAGACUCUUCGGAAGUGUUGCUACUAUAAAAAACUAUUGAUUUGUCGUAAUUGACGCAUUGCCCCUAGCAUAUUUUAUAUUCCCUUAGGAUUGAUUUCAAAACUUGUACACCCCUCUCGCUAGCUUCUCCAAACAAUAUACUAUCAUCAGCAAACAAUAAAUGAGAAACCGACAGACCCUCUCUACUUGUCUUUGCUCCCUUAAUCGACCCUCCCUCGAGGCCAUCUUCAUAAGUGUUGAAAGGCCCUCACUACAAAUUAAAAAUAAGAAGGUACUAAUGUCAUGGGGCUAGAUCUUUCAUCUCGCGAUCUAUGCGGCCUUAGGCGAUCCGUUUGCUCAAAACUCGCCUAAGUCAGCCUUUACACCCAAAAAUGAGGAUUCCUUUAGAAUUCCUCAAAGGCACCAAUUUGUAUAUCUGAAGAGAUUAUGCCAAAAGAAGCUACAAAUGAACAACAAAAAGCCAAAGAAAGAAUGCACACAAAGUGUUUGAGUAAAUGUUCAAAGAAUUCUAUUACUCUUAAGAAUUCAACAUACAAUGGAUGAUUUACAAGUGGGAGAGAUGCUCUCUAUUUAUAGUUGAGCUCCUCCAAAAUCGAUGGUCCAGAUUAAAAUACAUUGAUGGACGAGAUCAGUCUAUCCCUUAAUUUUGGGAAUUUACAAGAUUACAUCAUAUCAUAUCAAAUCUAUAAGAUAUGAUUUCCCUACUUACUAAAAAUAGCCUAUGUUGCCAUAUCUUCAUUAUCGGGCCAACCAGGCUUUAAUAUGACAGGUUUCUCUAAUAGUUCUUAGAAUCAGGCCAGUUCUCAUUGGCUAAAUAUUCCCAAUCUAAUCGAUCAACCUCAAUGAGGCGCAUUUUGUGCCAUGGUCACGGGAUUUGCACUUUGGCCCGUGACAUUCUCCCCCACCCAUUUUCGAAAUGCCCUCGUUGUGACUUCUGAAUGACAUUGACUUGAUUCACCUUGGAACUCUCUCGUUGCCUUGGCUUCUUCCUGACUUGUUUCGCGAUUGGGUUGUUCCUUCUUUCGAAACAUUUUUCUCGGCUUCCAUUGUCUCUUAACUUGAACUGUUGCACUCGUUGGUACAUCCCGUUGGCAAGAAGUCUCCGCUCUAACUUGCCCCAAUUUUGACUUGUUACUAUUGGAAUCCCCUUGAUUCUCACAUCUUGGCUUUGUAUCGCCCAUAGUCCAUCGGCCUCCUUGCUUAAGAACUUUGAAAGGGCCCCUACGACCUUGCCAAGCCAACAAGUUAGAAUUCAAAACACUAUCAGAGUGUUCGCAAUGUACCUUACUCUCAGUAUUUACUCGUUUUGAAUGCUUUUACAUCGCUUCUUUCCCUUCGAAGUCCAAUACACAACUCACCCUUCCCAAAGGUGGCGGCUCCACAAUCAACUUCACAAGCAUCAUAUCGUUCUCAUGCUCCAUUAACUUUUUCAAAUGGGCUUUCGUAGUAUUUCGUUCUAUCGAGUUAAUGUUUCUCCCAUGUGAAACAUCUUUAACUAGUUGGAUUGAUGACAACACCUUGGUCCCAACCUUCAUAUCUCGAUGCACCAGUACAACAAUCUUUGAUAAUGGACCAAUGCAAAUAUGAAUUUGAUCGGCCCAUGGAUAAAGAACUGUCUAAAUCUUGUCAAGAAAGUUUAAGCCAAAUACAUAAUCAUAAUCAUCUAAUUGGAUUACCUCAAAGUUUUUCUUGCCCUUCCAUUCGCCGAUUUGUAGCUCCACAUUACGAACUAUUCUCACAGUUGGGGCCUCUUCAAAAUUUACCAUCUUAAUCUUUCUAUUUGAUUUCUUAAUUGAGAGACCAAGUUUCUCCACAGCCUUUUUCGAUAUGAACAAGUCUGAUGCUCCCGUAUUGACAAGAACACUCCACUUCUGACUGGUAAUGUUGAUGUCUACAAACAUCAACCCUUCUCCACCAUUCAUUUUCUUAAGAAUGAGCACCAUCGAAUUGACCCUCGAUGUCUUUUUCUCAAAAGGUUUCACCUCUUCCUUC